Passer domesticus (house sparrow) is the source of this 1099-nucleotide long non-coding RNA. RefSeq lists it as uncharacterized. The transcript has 2 exons. NCBI's taxonomy places the organism in Eukaryota, Metazoa, Chordata, Aves, Passeriformes, Passeridae. The record is from RefSeq and is a predicted model, not a curated record.
AUGAAAAAAGGUCAUUUCCCCCUUCAUCUCCACUUCCAUUGUGCUGCCUCUGUUGGGUCUCAUCUAAUUUUCUGGCCACAAGCCAUAUUGUGCUACCACUUCCCAUGUUCUUGCUUCACUUCUCUCACAGUGAGGCAAUGGGAUCAGCCACAAAAUCCCUGCUUCCAGGCCUGCUGCUGGUUUCUGUGCUGCAUUUCAAAGAAUGAGAUUUCUGACAAAGCCAUGACCAAGAGCCAGGUGGUGGCCUGGGAGCCAGGCAGCACCUCCUGCAGAUGUGGUCAUCAGGGAUGGUGCUCCAGCUGUGCGGAUGAUCAAGGCUCACACUUGAGCUCAGCUCCUGGGUCUCCUUUUUUGGUGAUACUUUUUCCCAGACAGUGACCCAGACAGCCACGUGUAGGUGUCUCUGAGUACAGCUGGGGUUGGUGGGAGCCCUGCUCUCACAUCUCCAAAGCAUGGCCCUGUCCCCAGGGGUUUGGUGCCCUGAGGGAGCCUGUGGCUCUGCAGUGGCUCUGUGCCCACACCCUGGGGGCAGAGUCUGACCUCUUGGUGUCAAAGUCAAUCAGGCAAUUACAAACCAAGGUGCAGCAGCAGGUCCAAAAGGAAUUACGUCCUUCUCCUCUGCCACCCACAGAAGGCCAAUUCCUGUGGAUUCAUCCCUCUCUCAAGGCAACCGCACCAUGCUUGGUUAAAAUGGCUGCGACCUCCACAGCAGCCUCUGUGAUGUUCUAACCAUAUCAGGUGAUAAACAAAUCUCAAAUGAAGCUGCUGGGGCUCUGAGCCAUGAGCAAGCCCUUCAGCAUUACUGUCCAUAUUGCCCUUUUUGCAGCAUGUCCUUUAAUGCAGAAAGUGGCACUUAAAAUGGGCAGUCAUACUCAGAGGACCAACACUCUCACUUGUGAACCCUAUGUGAACCCAGGAAAAAAUCAAUAAGGGGUUUUAAAAGACCAGCAAAAUAGCAUUUAAUCUCCUCUGUGUCAGCAGAUCUGCAGAGCAGGUUUAGGGUUGUUUUGCAUCUGGGACUGAAAAAAAAAAAAAAGCCAUGUAGGAUUGCCUGCAGGUGAUUAGGUUUUGUUUUAAAACUUUAAACAAACAUUAAAAU